This 83-nucleotide transfer RNA is filed under the name Indolivaga alginatilytica. Its description in RNAcentral is "Dysgonomonas alginatilytica tRNA-Ser". It matches the Rfam family "tRNA". From Rfam's summary of the family: Transfer RNA (tRNA) molecules are approximately 80 nucleotides in length. Their secondary structure includes four short double-helical elements and three loops (D, anti-codon, and T loops). Lineage: Bacteria; Pseudomonadati; Bacteroidota; Bacteroidia; Bacteroidales; Dysgonomonadaceae. The record is from RNAcentral.
GGAAGAAUGACAGAAUGGCUAUUGUAGCGGUCUUGAAAACCGUCGUCUGAAAGGGCGUGUGGGUUCGAAUCCUUCUUCUUCCG